AGCGGUGGAAUGCGUAGAUAUAUGGAAGAACACCAGUGGCGAAGGCGGCUGUCUAGUCUGUAACUGACGCUGAGGCUCGAAAGCAUGGGUAGCGAACAGGAUUAGACACCCUGGUAGUCCAUGCCGUAAACGAUGAGUGCUAGGUGUUGGAGGGUUUCCGCCCUUCAGUGCCGCAGCUAAACGCAUUAAGCACUCCGCCUGGGGAGUACGACCGCAAGGUUGAAACUCAAAGGAAUUUGACGGGGGCCCGCACAAGCGGUGGAGCAUGUGGUUUAAUUCGAAGCUACGCGAAGAACCUUACCAGGUCUUGACAUACUAUGCAAAUCUUAGAGAUAAGACGUUCCCUUCGGGGACAUGGAUACAGGUGGUGCAUGGUUGUCGUCAGCUCGUGUCGUGAGAUGUUGGGUUAAGUCCCGCAACGAGCGCAACCCUCAUUAUCAGUUGCCAGCAUUAAGUUGGGCACUCUGGUGAGACUGCCGGUGACAAACCGGAGGAAGGUGGGGAUGACGUCAAAUCAUCAUGCCCCUUAUGACCUGGGCUACACACGUGCUACAAUGGACGGUACAACGAGUCGCGAAGUCGUGAGGCUAAGCUAAUCUCUUAAAGCCGUUCUCAGUUCGGAUUGUAGGCUGCAACUCGCCUACAUGAAGUUGGAAUCGCUAGUAAUCGCGGAUCAGCAUGCCGCGGUGAAUACGUUCCCGGGCCUUGUACACACCGCCCGUCACACCAUGAGAGUUUGUAACACCCAAAGCCGGUGAGAUAACCUUC
This 768-nucleotide ribosomal RNA is filed under the name uncultured Lactobacillus sp. RNAcentral describes it as "bacterial SSU rRNA". It matches the Rfam family "Bacterial small subunit ribosomal RNA", at positions 677 to 1443 of the family's 1533-position model. Lineage: Bacteria; Bacillati; Bacillota; Bacilli; Lactobacillales; Lactobacillaceae. The record is from RNAcentral.